UUGAACGAAAUGUGCCACUUGUGUUUGCGU
RNAcentral lists this non-coding RNA (30 nucleotides) under Rattus norvegicus (Norway rat). Lineage: Eukaryota; Metazoa; Chordata; Mammalia; Rodentia; Muridae. The record is from RNAcentral.